AGAUUAAGUUAUUAAGGGCGCACGGUGGAUGCCUUGGCACUAGAAGCCGAUGAAGGACGUUACUAACGACGAUAUGCUUUGGGGAGCUGUAAGUAAGCUUUGAUCCAGAGAUUUCCGAAUGGGGAAACCCAGCAUGAGUUAUGUCAUGUUAUCGAUAUGUGAAUACAUAGCAUAUCAGAAGGCACACCCGGAGAACUGAAACAUCUUAGUACCCGGAGGAAGAGAAAGAAAAUUCGAUUCCCUUAGUAGCGGCGAGCGAAACGGGAAGAGCCCAAACCAACAAGCUUGCUUGUUGGGGUUGUAGGACCCUCUAUACGGAGUUACAAAGGACGACAUUAGACGAAUCAUCUGGAAAGAUGAAUCAAAGAAGGUAAUA
This 376-nucleotide ribosomal RNA is filed under the name Staphylococcus aureus. RNAcentral's name for it is "partial 23S ribosomal RNA". It matches the Rfam family "Bacterial large subunit ribosomal RNA", at positions 1 to 369 of the family's 2925-position model. Lineage: Bacteria; Bacillati; Bacillota; Bacilli; Caryophanales; Staphylococcaceae. The record is from RNAcentral.